Molecule: ribosomal RNA, 468 nt
Filed under: uncultured bacterium
Lineage: Bacteria
Description: partial 16S ribosomal RNA
Rfam family: Bacterial small subunit ribosomal RNA
Source: RNAcentral
GACGAACGCUGGCGGCGUGCUUAACACAUGCAAGUCGAACGGUCAGGCCCUGCUUUUGUGGGGUGCUCGUGUGGCGAACGGGUGUGUAACACGUGUGUAAACUGCCCCUGACUUUGGGGUAACUUCAUGGAACUGGGGCUAAUACCGGAUAGGACCUCCUGCUGCAUGUUGGGUUUUGGUGAGUUUCGUCGUUUGGGGAUGGACUUGUGGCUUAUCGGCGUGUUGGCUGGGUGGUGGCUUACCGAGGCGUUGACGGGUAGCCAGCCUGCGAGGGUGACCGGCCACAGUGGGACUGAGAUAGGGCCCAGACUCCUACGGGAGGCAGCAGUGGGGAAUAGUGCACAAUGGGCGGAAUCCUGAUGGAGCAACGCCGCGUGGGGGAGGACGGCUUUCGGGUUGUAACCCGCGUUCGCGUGUGACGAAGCGUGAGUGACGGUAGCGGGUAAAGAAGCACCGGCUAACUACGUG